Molecule: small nucleolar RNA, 100 nt
Organism: Sorex araneus (European shrew)
Lineage: Eukaryota; Metazoa; Chordata; Mammalia; Eulipotyphla; Soricidae
Source: Ensembl
AUCCUUUUGUGGCAUAUAUGCAUGAUGAUUGUCACCCAUGCAUCCAUGGGACAUGUGCUUCUUCGAACCUUAUUAAGAUGUCAGUGCACCUGAUGUGAAA